CCUGUUUUCAACUCUAACAUUUAAAUGAAUAUCACUGUGGGAACUGCAUGGACUUUCCUGAUCCUCCAGCCCAGAUUCGCCCUUAUGAUAGAUAUGUGAUUUCCUCUUUAGAGAAGCUUUUUCCCAUUNNGUCACUUGAAGAACCUUCCAUAACUUCACAAUCAGAAGAACUGCUUCCAGAUGAAUCACUUUCAGACUCGGAAUUCAAACCAUAACGAUUUCUAGAUGGAGAUUUCUU
This 238-nucleotide unclassified non-coding RNA is filed under the name Hevea brasiliensis (rubber tree). Lineage: Eukaryota; Viridiplantae; Streptophyta; Magnoliopsida; Malpighiales; Euphorbiaceae. The record is from RNAcentral.